This 250-nucleotide ribosomal RNA is filed under the name uncultured bacterium. Its description in RNAcentral is "partial 16S ribosomal RNA". It matches the Rfam family "Bacterial small subunit ribosomal RNA", at positions 87 to 339 of the family's 1533-position model. The record is from RNAcentral.
UGAUUAGAGCGGCGGACGGGUGAGUAACGCGUAGGAAUCUACCUAGUAGAAGGGGAUAGCCCGAGGAAACUCGGAUUAAUACCGUAUACCUCCUUCGGGAGAAAGAAGGCCUCUCUUUGAAGCUUUCGCUACUAGAUGAGCCUGCGUAAGAUUAGCUAGUUGGUAGGGUAAAGGCCUACCAAGGCGACGAUCUUUAGCUGGUCUGAGAGGACGAUCCGCCACAUUGGGACUGAGACACGGCCCAGACUCC